UGGGGAAUUUUGGACAAUGGGCGAAAGCCUGAUCCAGCAAUGCCGCGUGUGUGAAGAAGGCCUUCGGGUUGUAAAGCACUUUUGUCCGGAAAGAAAUCCUUGGCUCUAAUACAGUCGGGGGAUGACGGUACCGGAAGAAUAAGCACCGGCUAACUACGUGCCAGCAGCCGCGGUAAUACGUAGGGUGCAAGCGUUAAUCGGAAUUACUGGGCGUAAAGCGUGCGCAGGCGGUUUGCUAAGACCGAUGUGAAAUCCCCGGGCUCAACCUGGGAACUGCAUUGGUGACUGGCAGGCUAGAGUAUGGCAGAGGGGGGUAGAAUUCCACGUGUAGCAGUGAAAUGCGUAGAGAUGUGGAGGAAUACCGAUGGCGAAGGCAGCCCCCUGGGCCAAUACUGACGCUCAUGCACGAAAGCGUGGGGAGCAAACAGGAUUAGAUAACCCCUGGUAGUCCACGCCCUAAAACGAUGUCAACUAGUUGUUGGGGAUUCAUUUCCUUAGUAACGUAGCUAACGCGUGAAGUUGACCGCCUGGGGAGUACGGUCG
This 543-nucleotide ribosomal RNA is filed under the name uncultured bacterium. RNAcentral's name for it is "partial 16S ribosomal RNA". It matches the Rfam family "Bacterial small subunit ribosomal RNA", at positions 355 to 888 of the family's 1533-position model. The record is from RNAcentral.